UUCACUUCAGAAGACAUUUUAUUGGUAUCAUAAAAUUGUAUAAGUGGGGUGAAUCUAGCCUAGCAGUUCUAUGAAAUAACAAGUGACUUGCUGACUUUCAUUCAGUGAGAAUCAAUAUCCACAAAAAUUUCACAUAGCCUACCUUAGACAUUGAGUGUUUGCAUUCUGGAAAAGAUUUUAAACUUAUGAGUUCAUAGCACUUAAAUUUGACAUUGAUGUUUUACUACAGAUUCAGCAUUUCUGUGUCUGAUAUUUCUUACAAACACAAAAUCUCACUUUAAAAUAUUACAAUGGCAUUAAUCACAUGUUUAAGCUCAGAAAUAUGGAUUUAAGAGUUACAGGAGUGGAUAUUUCUGGUUUUCAUUUUAAAGCCAACAGGAAGCAUGAGGAUAAUCAUAAGUCAGAACAACCUUAAAAAGGUUGUUAAACACAUAAAUAUGUAUUUUAAAACAUCUCCUUAAUAAUACCCUAUAGAAACAGAAAUAUAAGUGAAGAGAAUCACUCCAAAUUAAUGAAAGUU
RNAcentral lists this long non-coding RNA (520 nucleotides) under Bos taurus (domestic cattle). RNAcentral's name for it is "long non-coding RNA NONBTAT018708". Lineage: Eukaryota; Metazoa; Chordata; Mammalia; Artiodactyla; Bovidae. The record is from RNAcentral.